Molecule: ribosomal RNA, 757 nt
Filed under: uncultured bacterium
Lineage: Bacteria
Description: bacterial SSU rRNA
Rfam family: Bacterial small subunit ribosomal RNA
Source: RNAcentral
CCUGCCGUCUACUCUUGGACAGCCUUCUGAAGGGAAGAAUAAUACAAGAUGGCAUCAUGAGUCCGCAUGUUCACAUGAUUAAAGGUAUUCCGGUAGACGAUGGGGAUGCGUUCCAUUAGAUAGUAGGCGGGGUAACGGCCCACCUAGUCUUCGAUGGAUAGGGGUUCUGAGAGGAAGGUCCCCCACAUUGGAACUGAGACACGGUCCAAACUCCUACGGGAGGCAGCAGUGAGGAAUAUUGGUCAAUGGGCGAGAGUCUGAACCAGCCAAGUAGCGUGAAGGAUGACUGCCCUAUGGGUUGUAAACUUCUUUUAUAAAGGAAUAAAGUCGGGUAUGCAUACCCGUUUGCAUGUACUUUAUGAAUAAGGAUCGGCUAUCUCCGUGCCAGCAGCCGCGGUAAUACGGAGGAUCCGAGCGUUAUCCGGAUUUAUUGGGUUUAAAGGGAGCGUAGAUGGAUGUUUAAGUCAGUUGUGAAAGUUUGCGGCUCAACCGUAAAAUUGCAGUUGAUACUGGAUAUCUUGAGUGCAGUUGAGGCAGGCGGAAUUCGUGGUGUAGCGGUGAAAUGCUUAGAUAUCACGAAGAACUCCGAUUGCGAAGGCAGCCUGCUAAGCUGCAACUGACAUUGAGGCUCGAAAGUGUGGGUAUCAAACAGGAUUAGAUACCCUGGUAGUCCACACGGUAAACGAUGAAUACUCGCUGUUUGCGAUAUACAGCAAGCGGCCAAGCGAAAGCGUUAAGUAUUCCACCUGGGGAGUAC